GGGUCGUUAGCUCAGUUGGUAGAGCAGUUGACUCUUAAUCAAUUGGUCGCUGGUUCGAACCCAGCACGACCCA
RNAcentral lists this transfer RNA (73 nucleotides) under Aeromonas salmonicida. RNAcentral describes it as "tRNA-Lys". It matches the Rfam family "tRNA". Rfam says of the family: Transfer RNA (tRNA) molecules are approximately 80 nucleotides in length. Their secondary structure includes four short double-helical elements and three loops (D, anti-codon, and T loops). Further hydrogen bonds mediate the characteristic L-shaped molecular structure. tRNAs have two regions of fundamental functional importance: the anti-codon, which is responsible for specific mRNA codon recognition, and the 3' end, to which the tRNAs corresponding amino acid is attached (by aminoacyl-tRNA synthetases). tRNAs cope with the degeneracy of the genetic code in two manners: having more than one tRNA (with a specific anti-codon) for a particular amino acid; and 'wobble' base-pairing, i.e. permitting non-standard base-pairing at the 3rd anti-codon position. The record is from RNAcentral. Lineage: Bacteria; Pseudomonadati; Pseudomonadota; Gammaproteobacteria; Aeromonadales; Aeromonadaceae. RNAcentral also lists the same sequence under 1 other name.